UGGGAUUAAAGGCAUGUGCCACACACU
This 27-nucleotide non-coding RNA is filed under the name Mus musculus (house mouse). The record is from RNAcentral. Lineage: Eukaryota; Metazoa; Chordata; Mammalia; Rodentia; Muridae.